This 74-nucleotide transfer RNA is filed under the name bacterium. RNAcentral's name for it is "tRNA-Arg". It matches the Rfam family "tRNA". Rfam says of the family: Transfer RNA (tRNA) molecules are approximately 80 nucleotides in length. Their secondary structure includes four short double-helical elements and three loops (D, anti-codon, and T loops). RNAcentral also lists the same sequence under 2 other names. The record is from RNAcentral.
GCGCUUGUAGCUCAACAGGAUAGAGCGUUAGCCUCCGGAGCUAAAGGCUGUGGGUUCAACUCCCACCAAGCGCG